Molecule: ribosomal RNA, 300 nt
Filed under: uncultured Marinobacter sp.
Lineage: Bacteria; Pseudomonadati; Pseudomonadota; Gammaproteobacteria; Pseudomonadales; Marinobacteraceae
Description: bacterial SSU rRNA
Rfam family: Bacterial small subunit ribosomal RNA (bases 52-300)
Source: RNAcentral
GCAGAUCGUGGACAGGUGGGCGAGUGAAAACUGAUGGUGCAAGUGAGUAUCGGAAGACCUGGGGUUAACGGUGGCGUAGGCGGCCUUCUAAGAUGAACGUGAAAUCCCCGGGCUCAAGCCUGGAACUGCGUCCAAUACGGGAAGGCUUGAAUCCGGGAUAGGGAUGUGGAAGUCCAGGUGUAGCGGUGAAAUGCGUAGAGAUCUGGAGGAACACCGGUGGCGAAGGCGACAUCCUGGACCGGUAUUGACGCUGAGGCGCGAAAGCCAGGGGAGCAAACGGGAUUUGAUACCCGAGUAGUC